Molecule: non-coding RNA, 30 nt
Filed under: Mus musculus (house mouse)
Lineage: Eukaryota; Metazoa; Chordata; Mammalia; Rodentia; Muridae
Source: RNAcentral
UAAAAGGACAGACUCCGUUGGUGCAGCACA